AAGGGAAGUCGUAACAAGGUUUCCGUAGGUGAACCUGCGGAAGGAUCAUUGUCGAAACCUGCACCUUGCAGAAUGACCCGCGAACGUGUUUAAAAGAUAGUCGGGUGAAUUUGUGGCUCCGCGCCCCUCAUUCUCCCGGCGCAGCAGACGGGAGGGACUUCGGGCAAGUGCUCGUUCGUCUCUGUCGUCUGCUCAACAACCAACCCCGGCGCAGUACGCGCCAAGGAAUAGAAAAUGAAAAGGGCGUGCUUUUCUUUCGGAAUGCAUUGCCUUCUUUCAAGAAUCAAAAUGACUCUCGGCAACGGAUAUCUCGGCUCUCGCAUCGAUGAAGAACGCAGCAAAAUGCGAUACUUGGUGUGAAUUGCAGAAUCCCGUGAAUCAUCGAGUUUUUGAACGCAAGUUGCGCCCGAAGCCUUUCGGCCAAGGGCACGCCUGCCUGGGUGUCACGCAUACGUCGCCCCAUCCUCUCGACACCUCGGGAGUCAUGGGAGCAGAAGUUGGCCUCCUGUGUGCCUUGCGCAUGUGGCUGGCCCAAAAUGCAUGUUCGCGGNCAAUGAUAGCCAUGACGAUCGGUGGGUGUAAAGACCCUCUGAAAAAGUCGUGCGCUGUUCUUAGCCGUCGGGACAUUCCUUGNACCUAGGGCGUCCUCAGGGCGCGCUCCGACCGCGACCCCAGGUCAGGCGGGACUACCCGCUGAGUUUUAGCAUAUCAAUAAGCGGAAGGGCGAAUUC
Molecule: ribosomal RNA, 731 nt
Filed under: embryophyte environmental sample
Lineage: Eukaryota; Viridiplantae; Streptophyta
Description: eukaryotic LSU rRNA
Rfam family: 5.8S ribosomal RNA (bases 291-446)
Source: RNAcentral